This 256-nucleotide ribosomal RNA is filed under the name uncultured bacterium. RNAcentral's name for it is "partial 16S ribosomal RNA". It matches the Rfam family "Bacterial small subunit ribosomal RNA", at positions 524 to 778 of the family's 1533-position model. The record is from RNAcentral.
UACAGAGGUGGCAAGCGUUUGUUCGGAAUUACUGGGCGUAAAGGGCGCGUAGGCGGCCUUCUAAGUCAGACGUGAAAUCCCCUCAGCUUAACUGGGGAACUGCGUCUGAUACUGGAUGGCUUGAGUGUGGGAGAGGAAUGCGGAAUUCCAGGUGUAGCGGUGAAAUGCGUAGAUAUCUGGAGGAACACCGGUGGCGAAGGCGGCAUUCUGGACCUAACUGACACUGAGAGACGAAAGCCAGGGGAGCAAAACGGGG